This 277-nucleotide ribosomal RNA is filed under the name uncultured prokaryote. RNAcentral describes it as "partial 16S ribosomal RNA". It matches the Rfam family "Bacterial small subunit ribosomal RNA", at positions 524 to 800 of the family's 1533-position model. The record is from RNAcentral.
UACGGAGGAUCCGAGCGUUAUCCGGAUUUAUUGGGUUUAAAGGGUGCGCAGGCGGGAGAUUAAGUCGGCGGUGAAAUUUUGCAGCUCAACUGUAAAAGUGCCUUCGAAACUGGUUUCCUUGAGUGUGGAUGAGGUAGGCGGAAUUUGUGGUGUAGCGGUGAAAUGCAUAGAUAUCACGAGGAACUCCGAUUGCGUAGGCAGCUUACUAAACCAUAACUGACGCUCAAGCACGAAGGCGUGGGGAUCAAACAGGAUUAGAUACCCGGGUAGUCCCUGA